This 7006-nucleotide unclassified non-coding RNA is filed under the name Leishmania donovani. Its description in RNAcentral is "gene:LdHU3.20.1320(CDS-product:hypothetical_prote in_conserved)". The record is from RNAcentral. Lineage: Eukaryota; Euglenozoa; Kinetoplastea; Trypanosomatida; Trypanosomatidae.
CCCACACACACGCGCCAACGUGUGUGCACAGGUCCUCUGCGUGAUAGGCCACCGAAUAGAUAGCGUCACCUCUCGGGUCUUUGGAUAUGCAGUUUUCUCUGUGGUGCUCCUUUUUGUUGCUGCUGCUUCGCCUUGCACGGCGGUACACCUUUCUCCUGUAAUUGUCUGGCAGUAUCACUCUCCUACGCAGACAACCCACGCUGACGCAAACGCAAGCGAACCGGGAAUACAGACGCCCAUGCAGGAAUCACCUCAUAUUUUUUCAUCCUUUUAUUCGCGUGCUCCCUGGCAUGUGUAUGUUUAGGUGUAGCUUCGGUGUUGCGUUGCCGCAGUAAGUCUCCCCAUCCCCCCCCCGCGGCUGCUUCAGCGUGCAGGCAAAUUGUGUGUGUGCGUGGGCGUGGGUGUGGCUCUAGCUAUCUCUCUUCCUUCGUCGGCGUUCUGCUCCCUUGUCGGUGCCUGUGCGUUCGCGCGUGCUUACUUCGGAAUUUUUUUUCCGUUAACAAGAGUGCGUUGCUCUGCCAUACAGCACGAGGCCAUACGUCCCUCGGCCCCUGCCACAGGCCUCAUCCGCGUGGUGCGAAGCAUGCCGUAGACACAGGCGUUGUAGCAGUGCGCCGACCCAGCCAUCUGAGAGCACGGCCUCUGCACAAAACUCUCCCCGCACGCACACGAUGCUGGUCGCCACCUGGUGCAUUCCCCUCGGGGGGGGGGGGAGGGGCGCUCAGGCCCCCCACACCUCUGCAGACAGCAGCGAGGGCCAGGGGUGCGUGGGAUAUGCGCUCGCGUCACGCUGACACUCUGCCUACCAUAUGCGUACUGCAAGCACGUGCACUGUCGCAGGUCGCUACGGCGCAACACCGUCCAGGACCUGAGCGCUGACGUCAGCAGCGAUACAUCGCCUUGGCCUCCCCACGUCGCGGGUGCCUGGCCCUGUCGUCAGCGGAAGUGUUUUGGCAUGGGCAGGGGAUAGGGAGGCUUGCCUGGCUUCUCCGCAGACAGUAUGAGUGGGGCACUGGACACCGAGAAUGCUGCGCGCUGAGGUGUGCGCGGCCCCCCCCCCUUUCUCGUCAUGGGGGCUCAUGUGAGGUGAGGCAAACAAGAAUGCAGAAAGAAACGUUUCGUGCACCGGCCGCUCCGUUGGUGAGUGCGCAACAGCCUGUCGUCCUCGUUGACGGAAGCCGUCUCUCUCUUCACCGUCCCUCUCCUGGCCCACCCUUCACCUUUGCGCCUCAUGGCGUCACCACCAACGCCGAAGCAGCCACCACCUUUUCUUGCACGAGCAGCACAAAGCGCCGCGCGCGGCUGCGGCCUGCCUUCCCGCCCCCAAAGCGCAUCCCCCCCCCCUCCCCUCCCCCUCGCAGCAGCACAAAGCGCCGCGCGCGGCUGCGGUCGAGAAAACGGUCGCGAAGAUGAACAAAGCGCGCGAGCUGCUGCACCCCACCAAUGGCAGCGCCGACGCCAAUAAGAAAGACGGGCAGAAGAAAAGCGCGCGGCAUGGCGGCAGUGGCCACCACAGCUCCUCUAAGGCGUUAUCGUCGACUCGGAGAGGCGGGCACCAGCAUGGCGAUAGCAGCACUGGUCGCUGGAGCGAGGAGGAAAAGAAGUGGACGCAGAAGCUUGCGGGGAACAAAGUCUUCAAGCGUCUGAUGCAGCCGGCGUACAUGGACAGCGGCACUGGCGGUCAUAGUCACAACCGCAACGACGGGAUCAGCGACUACGACGUCCCUCGCCUAGGUGAGAUCCCGGUACGCUCCAAAUACUAUCGGCCAGACCAGGAGAAGUCCCAUUUCGCGAAUCACCCCACCUACCUGCCGCUGGCUGAGCAGUGUGGGCCACCGCAGCCGUCCCCCUCCACGUCCCUCACGCCGCGGCAGGAACGGCACCAAAAGUAUGAGCAGAGUAACGACGACGAGGUCAGCGGCCAUGCCUACGGCAACAUGGGAGUAGAGAUGGGAGUCGAAGAUGACGACUGCGAGCAAGCGCAGCAGAUGCUCCCCAACAGCCACCUCGGCUGCCUGCGCGAGAGUUCUGUGAGCGGCACUCAAGGUUCUGGACUCUGCAUUCAAACUGCCAGCAUUGGCAGUAACGCGAGCGGCGCGUCGUCUAUUGGGCCGACUGGGCUGCCACUGAUGCCGCAGUUCCGCUGGAUCCCGAAGCAAGGCGGCGGCGGCCUCGGCUUCAACCCUUUCAUGCACUUUCGCUCUCGAACCCGGCAUGAGGGCAUGGCAUCAAGGCCCUCAGUGCCUGGGGCGGACGCCCCAAUGCCGUGGAACGAGGCGCAGCAGCAAGGCGACUGCAGGACGUCGGAGCUGCCGCGCGGCGCAACUUCCCCUGAGCAUCAGCAGAGGCAUAGCGAGGAUCAGUCGCAGGCCCCAGGUCGUCAAAAUAGCUACUCAAUGUUUUACGGCUGCACGUCACAGCUGCCAGCGCAGCAGUCGGCCCCACCGGCCCGCGCUCAUCGCGAAACGGGAGCGCUCUCCUUCUACGGCCCCAUCGGCUCCAUUGGUAUCGAGACUUCGCGCAAGCGGCGCGCCGUUGAGCGACAGAGCGGGACAGAUGGUGAAGCGGAGCGAGCCUACAAGGAGCGCUCCUCUCGCCGCCCUGUUGAGGGGGAGGCAACCGGCGUCCAGCUUCUCACGCAGCUCUGGUGCGAUGUAAGCCUGCUGCAUGGCGCUCGCGUCGUUGACUCCCCACGCCUGCCGCCCGACGACGGUGAGGGCGACGACUGGGCAAACACCAGCAGUCCCAGUAUUAGCGACAUCGACUCGAGCAUUGGCGACCGCGAGGCCGGUGAGGCGGCCAUGGCGGCACGAAAGAAGGUGCGGCAGCAUCGUCAGCAGUACUCAUCCCGGUCGCCGUCCUUUUACUUCAAGUACGAUGAUCUUGCGGCGCUCGGGGCCAAGAACAACCGCGGCGGCUCGCCGUCGGGGGCUGCCGCCUGUGUCGCACUGGCACAGAGGCCAGUGACGGUCCGCGCUCACCAUCAGCAGCACAACGGUCCAUCCGUCGUUAAGACCGCAUCGCUAGCCGGUGCUGCUGGUGAUCAAAGGGAAGUUGCGGGCGUGGGCAAGGUUGCCGCGCGUGGAGUGGCGAGGCAUGAGGUAGCGUCGUCGUCCUCGUCCUCUGGCAGCUCUGGCAACGGCAGCAGCGAUGAUGACUCGAACAGCGAUGAGGGCAGCGCAGGCGAGCGCUCCGCCUGCUUCGGCUCGGACGGCGAUGACGAUGAGAGCGUUGACUCAGACGGCGCAGACAACCCACGCAGUAGCGACAACGACGCCGCCGUCGGCUCGACCCAUCCGCGCAGGUGGAAGAAGGGUUCCUCGACGGGCGCCAGCGCCGGAACGGGUCGCAGCGUUCUCAAGGAUGGCCAGUACGAUUUUAUGAAUAGUUCCCUCAUGGACGAGUCCUUCAUGUCGCGCAUGCCGGGCUGCGGUGCUGGGAUGAGUCUGCUCUACGCACGUGACGACUACGACGGCGGUGGUGAAGAGGCGGCGGCAGCCGCAGCGGACCUCGUGCCAAGCCGCGCGCCGCAUCGCGUGUGUGCCCAAUUAGCAGGAAUCGCCGGAGCGAACAUGGCGCCUCACCCGCCAACCUCGCCUUCCAUUCCGACUCAGUCACAAGAGCAUCGCGGUAGCUCUUCGAUGCUAGGGGCGCGGGGGCCGGCAGUGCGACCUUCCGGCAGUGGAACUGCCGCCACCCUCGCCCUGCGCGGCCAACGCCGGGUGAGCAACGCCACUGACACACGCGCGCCGAGCGCUGCAGCUGCGCGGCACACUCCGCAUCAGGGAGGCGGCGCUGGCGACUCUAGCAGCCACAACACGGGCGGCGGCACCGGUGGCUGCGGUCUGGGGGAGCAGUUCGCCUACGGAAGCAGCUUUGGCAUGGGUAGUCGGCGAAAUUCCUACUCGGCAACGGCGUGCGACGGAGCUCACGAUGCCGCCUUCACGUCGCUGGGGGUGUAUUGGGUAACCAAAGGCAACGGCAAUACGGUGUCCCCAGGCGCCUCCGUGAUGGGCGGGAACGACGAGGCCUCGGCUAUUAUGGGGGUCUACAGCGACAGCCGGGACAGCACCGUGCCUCCUGGCCUCCUUGGCGUUACGAGUCGAGGUCCCACAACAUUCCCGGAGGUCGACGGUGGUUGCACUGCGAAAGCAGGCAACAGUGCCAGUCAGCCAUCAAAGUCGCUGUUCAUUGAUCGAGGAAUUUCUAACCCUGCCGCGCACAGCCGACCUCCCAGCACUGCGCAGGGGGUACAUGAACCCGUGGUACUGGCAUCCCCGCAUCAACCAGCCCGAAAAGCGAAGGCGGUGUACCCAGGUGGCUAUCUGGCCCCCAUCACGCCACCCGUCACCCCAAAGGCAACCGAGGCCCCGUUGCCGCGCCGCGCGCAGAGCAACAACGGCGGCGCUUCCACCCCAGGUGCCCGUGGUUUGGCCAAUGCAAGCACGACGCCGGGCCUGGGCGACACGGUAGGAGGCAAGUCUUUUACCUCGCUUGCGUACCAGCUACCAGGCAUAUAAGGUCGAGAGACGCGAGAUGCAGGUGGGAAGAUGCGCAGGGUCGCUGCUGCACACGCAUCGGGCCAGCGCCUCCUGCUGCAUAGAUCGCUUGUGAUCUCAUCUGCGUGUGUGUGUGUGUGUUGCUCCUUUUCCCCUCUCAUCGCCUUUUUCUCUCUUUCUUUGGCUUCUUUUCCUCUCUUCGCUCAGAAGUGGCGCAGCAGCGGCGGCAGCGAGAGGGGUAUCAUUCUCCCGAACGCCAACGCCCGCACGCGCGUGUAUGUGACGUAUCUUCUUUGUGCAGCCAUCUCGUGCAUGCCCUUUGCUUGCUUGUUUUCACGGGAGGAGGCAUGUGCUCCCUCUUUCUCCUCGUCAUCUCCCCCUCCCCACCUUCCCUCUGAGUACCUGUACGCGUAUGUGUGUGCGUGUGUGUAAUUUCUACCGGCGGCUCGCUUGCUCUCUCUCUUCGACAUGCCCUCUUUACGGCGACUAAGACACCCCUUCCCUCAUCCCUCUUGUGGGCACAUGUUCGCUUGCCGGUCGAGCGGCGUGGGUGGGUGACUUCAGUCGGCCCGCCCCCGCCCCCACCCCUGCUCAGCAGGCCGCCAUUAAGGAAGCGGCGAGUCCGAAAAGGGCCGACAACAAAAAAAAAAGGAGUGAAGCGAACGAACUCGGGAGAGCGAUACGACGACGCGUGUUCAUGUCCUUCUAGGGGAGAGUGCGUGUUCGAGACGGGGCGCCCACAGGCCCGUAUGUAUGUGCAUAUCUCUUGGCAUUUUUGUUCUUUUUAUGUCUUCAACGGCGAAGUCUUUUGUUUGUGUAGGUACGUGCGUGCGUGUCUUUCUUUCGUUUUCUCGUUUCCCCUUCCCCUGUGACGCGUCUGCUUCCUUUCGACGUGUGUGUCUGCGUCGGUGUAUAAGCACACACACACACACACACAUCGCAUGCACAUCUGCGUGCUUUCAUGCCCAUUUGUCCUGCUGACUCCCCUCCCUCCCUCGCUUCCUUCCUAUCUUACUCUUGGCUUUCCUUUUUUUUCUACCUGCGGCGUUGGCUAUUCUUUUUUUUUGUGCGCGUGCGCGCGUGCCUGUGUGUGUGUGUGUGUGCUGUUUUGAUUUUGAAUGCAUCGUUUUUUUUUGUUAUUUCCCGUUUUUGCUCCCUCCCCUGCCCCCCCCCGAUGAUGCGGGGACCACCUCAGUGCUGAGCCACAGGCCCCAGUAUUUCACCCUGCGUGUGUGGGGAGGCCAAGCAGCCGGCAGCAUGCCCUCCGGGUCUUUUUGCGGACUCUUGGCAUCAGCGGAGAACUCUGGGCUGGCGCAUUACCGAGAGUUGCAACGACGAUCACGCUUGAACCAGCUCGCUAUGAUUUGCGUCGAGGAUUCAGCAAGUAUGCGCAUCCACCACCUGUUUUCUCUGCCUUUGCCGCGUUGCAGUGAUGUUGAGCAUGAUCCAUGGGUCUGGCCUGCGCUGUACGCGGUGGCAUUGCGGUGGGCUGAACGACACCAGACAGUGCUAGUUGGCCCAGCUCCUUGGCGAACCUGCGAUGCAGGUCUGUAUUCGGCAAGAGAAGCGCAUUUCGCACCCCGACAGGCCUUUGGGGCAGUGGGCCUCGCGGGCAUUCAACGCUCCGGUGUCGCGGGAGAGAAGGGCGACGGUGGUGUCUCCGAGCACAUAAAACAGGACAUAUGGUCAGAUGUACGCCCUAGUACUCUUUGCGCAGUGUCCCCAUAUUACGGCAUGCAGCCGCUUGAAACGACUGAGGGAGAAGCAUGGCGUACGCAGGCAAGUGCACAGGGUCUCAAACGGCCCUUGCCUGCGGCUGGCCAAGACCCUCCCUGAGCUCACGCGGCACGCACCUAAGCUACCCCCUGCUGCCCACACGACAAGCGCCACCGCUACCCGCCCUCGAGCAGGCCGCUGGGCGCGGCUGUCUCGGAUCAAGGCGAUUCGGGGAAUCCGGACCGCCGUCUGGCGCCGCCAGCGCUUGCGCAUGUGCGAGGAAGAGACGAGGAAUGCCAAAAAGAGCCCCUGCGACGCACAACCCGAUUUGACGGCACGAUGGUACGUCCUAGAGGACCAAGGACUCAGCUGUGGUGGACUGCGUCUAUUCACUGCCCCGUUCGUGGUAGAAUGGACGCGUGGAAAAGUCGAUAACGUUCCACAAACGCCGCACCGGUCUCCAUCACAUCAGGCAUCCCCUCUCCUCUCGUUUUAUUAUGUUGCAAGGCGGAGUGUGUCCAUGUCUGGGGCGUGCGUGUCGACACUGUCAGAUAGGGCAAACAGAAAGCUUAAGCCUCAGCCUGACAGUCGCAUGAACUGCCGUGAAACCGACUAGUUUGCCGCGCUCUUUUUUUUUGCCCUCUCCUCUUGUCCGUCCUCGAGGCCUCAAGGCCUGCACUGUUUCUCCACGCUCCUCUAUAUGCGUGUGUUGGCCCCACCACACGCCGCCCGUCUCGCGUUGGAGGCGGACCUCGAGCCUACCACUUCGUACACUUACCUCCCCAGGAAAC